This 176-nucleotide non-coding RNA is filed under the name Asanoa hainanensis. RNAcentral's name for it is "FMN sequence". It matches the Rfam family "FMN riboswitch aptamer (RFN element)". From Rfam's summary of the family: The RFN element is a highly conserved domain that is found frequently in the 5'-untranslated regions of prokaryotic mRNAs that encode for flavin mononucleotide (FMN) biosynthesis and transport proteins. Lineage: Bacteria; Bacillati; Actinomycetota; Actinomycetes; Micromonosporales; Micromonosporaceae. The record is from Rfam by way of RNAcentral.
ACGCGCUGGCGGGACUCGGUGAAAUUCCGAACCGGCGGUGAUCCGGGAGCCUGGCUCCUGGUAAGCCCGCGACCCGGUCGAGGAACCUCUCGAACGGUGGACCUGGUGAGAAUCCGGGGCCGACGGUUGGGCAGCCCCCAUGGCCGCCCAGACAGUCCGGAUGGGAGACAGCGCGA